This 253-nucleotide ribosomal RNA is filed under the name uncultured bacterium. Its description in RNAcentral is "partial 16S ribosomal RNA". It matches the Rfam family "Bacterial small subunit ribosomal RNA", at positions 524 to 776 of the family's 1533-position model. The record is from RNAcentral.
UACGUAGGUGGCAAGCGUUACUCGGAAUCACUAGGCGUAAAGCGCAGGUAGGCGGUUCGGUAAGUCUUUUGUGAAAGCUCCUGGCUCAACUGGGAGAGGUCAAAGGAAACUACUGGGCUAGAGUGUGGUAGGGGAGACUGGAAUUCCCGGUGUAGCGGUGAAAUGCGUAGAUAUCGGGAGGAAUACCUAUGGCGAAAGCAGGUCUCUGGGCCAUCACUGACGCUGAGCUGCGAAAGCUAGGGGAGCAAACAGG